This is a long non-coding RNA of Mugil cephalus (flathead mullet), 2569 nucleotides long. RefSeq lists it as uncharacterized. Lineage: Eukaryota; Metazoa; Chordata; Actinopteri; Mugiliformes; Mugilidae. The transcript is spliced from 2 exons. The record is from RefSeq and is a predicted model, not a curated record.
UUUAACUAUGAACUCCAGUGCAGAAAAACGAUGGAAAUAAUUUAUUUUUUAAAUUUAAUUUUUAGUAUCACAUUAUUAUGCUUUGAAAUUGGUGUUCACUUGAUUUACAGAUGUAAUGAUUGUGUGUGUAAUUUCUAUCUUUUUAUGUGAGUUUUUAAAUGUGCAUUUGCUUCAGAUUGUGUUGAUUGAACACUGCGUCUAAAAUGCCUUGAGCAUCCUGACUGUAGGGUUGAGAAUGUUAAAAUGAUAAAAGUAAAAUCUAAGAAAAAAAAUAAAUAAACAAUAAGAUAAUGUACGAAUGCCUAAAACUAUAUUUUACCCUCUUUUUUUUCAUUUUAUAAAAACAAAAGUACACAUAUAUCUCUCAUGUUUGGUCUCUGUGUGUUGUAAACGAACCCAUAUUUAUAAUUCUGAUUGGAUUGUGACCAAUGCGUCGGUUUAUAUCAGUGAUAAAAAAUAUAUAUUUUAAGUUUUACUUUAUUUUUAAAUGGGAGAUUUUAUCCAUGGUUGGAUCCUGAGAGACACAGUGGUGUCGUUGAAUAGUUGCUCUUUUUUUGGCAAAACUCUGCAACAUUUCUAUGUUCAGAAUUACAACAAUUAUGACUACGACAAUGAAAACAAUUAAAGAUAUUUAUUUCACCUUGUUGGCAUUUUUAAUGAGCAUGUAUUUCCAUGUCAAAGUUUCUCUUAGCCACAGCCUAUAAUUAGGAAAAUAUAAAUAAAUUCUCCUUGUAGUGAUUAUCAAUUUCUUUUAGUUGGAAUAUUUUAAUAAUUUAUAAAUGUCCCUGAAGAUAAUUUCAGGUGAAAAGGCUGAAUAAUAUUAAAUUGAGAAGGAUAAAUAAAUAAAAUUAUAUAUGAUAAUUGUGGUUGAUUGAUGAGGUUGUUUGUUCACUGCCCUCCGGUGGCCACAGUUUGUAACUACACCUACGUCUUCUGAAGUCGUUACACCCGAAGUAUUGGGGUCAAUAACUGUAUAGAAAUGAAAAGAAUAUUUUAAAAAUUAUACCAAAACAUUAUAGGAUCAGACCUCAGCUCUAAUUAAUUAUUCGUUACAGAUCUAGUUAGAUAUAGUCCACGAAAAACAAAUCUAUAACCAGUUAAUGUCCAAACACAGAGCCGUAUGUUAAAGUCAGGCCCUCUUGUGGCCGUAAAGUGUAACUACAGCCAAGCUAGUAGUAGAGCUAACCAUCGUCCCCAUUGAUACUGGCAGUGUUUUCUUUAAAAUAAGGGGCCAGUUUUCAACACACAGAUCAAAAAAAUUCAAGCACAUCAUCAAAUAUCUGUUUUAUUUCAUUGAUUAUUUUAGUCGUGCGUUACUGUCGAUAUCGUGUAGCUUGAUGGUAGCGGAAUAAAUUUACCAAUCGGGAACAUGUAACUAGCAGAAGUGCUACAGCUUCAGUUUACUGUACGACUUAUCAUAAAAUAAAUAAAUGCAAAACUAUCAGAAAAAUGCAAAUCGCAUUUGUAAGUUGUGGAACAGCGUCAAUCCGACGGGUCAUUUAUGUGAAAUAAAGUAGUUAAAUAGAGCAGACACAGAAUAUCCGCUGUAAUUAGCACCAGCUAACCUAGCCUAGCCUGUAGCUCUCACUCUAUCAUGUCUAUGGACUCACAUACAGACAAAGAGUGCUGCUGCCCUCUAGUGGACAGAAACUGUCAUUACACGUGAAGCGUUAAGUUAAUUAAAAUUACAUACGGACAGUACUUCCGGUUAACAUUCAAAAGUAAAAGGCGAAACAUCUGUGUGCUGUAGUGAAUGAAAAUAAAGUACCCCUUAUAAAUGAAACUGUAGCAAGAAGGACUGUUAUUAUUUUUCAUAUUACUUUUAAAUAUAAAUGCUUGUAAAAUAUUAAAAUAUUUCAUGCAUAUUUGUACUUGAAAAUAAAUAAUAUAUAUUUUUAUAUACGUUUUUUUUUAUCAUAAUUUUAUUUAUAUUUUUUAUUAUUUAGCAUUAAGACAGAAAUUCUGGUAAAUAACAGAUUGUAUUUUAAGAAGUUAUGAGUCAAAGUUCUGUGUAAUUAUCUGGAAGAAAGAUUAGUUGUAAAUAAAGUGUUAUAAAACGUCUGUGAUUUGUAGACCAAUAAAAAGCUUGUAUCCUGGUAAAAGCCAAUAUUUUGUAAAAAUAAUGUGAUUUUGCAUUUUCUAUAUUAUUUUCUUUAUUGAAACUGUCAGGUGAUUUGUUGGCCUGUGUGUCCAUGAACUUCAAGAGUUUUCAGUAAAUUGUUCUUAACAUAGCAAAAGUACAAAUGUGAUAAUAGUUUAUUUUAAUUUGACUGAUGCUGCUAUUAAUCAUAGGCCAUAAGCACAGAUUCAUUUAUUGUGGAUUUAUCCGUCAGAUAUUUAUUCUUUGAGUAUUUGAAUAAUAAGUACUAAGUACUAUGUCAUUAUUACACCACAUUGUUUUUAUGAUCAUCAAAUAAUUCACUGAGCUGGAUACAUGUUUUUUAUGGAGAAUCAUAUUCUGAAAGUGACCAACAAUUCCAGAUGUGAGAAUAAAUAUAGUUCAUUCAAAAUAUAAAAUCUUUCAUAUUUCCUUUGGUACAAACUCCAAUAAAAAUGUGGAAACAAACAA